Molecule: long non-coding RNA, 1178 nt
Organism: Girardinichthys multiradiatus
Lineage: Eukaryota; Metazoa; Chordata; Actinopteri; Cyprinodontiformes; Goodeidae
Exons: 2
Source: RefSeq, a predicted model, not a curated record
GGUCCUUCAAACGGCUUCUCAGUUAUUGACUUGCACAUACAAGCUUCAAAAUAAUUGCAGUGUGUUUUUAAAACAGUCCUCGUAAUGGCUUUCAUGUCCAUACAACCAGAAGUUUUCUGUUUCUAUUAAGGAUUAGAUUGGAUUAAUCUUGCUGGUCUAGUGAUGCUGCUCAUUUACUGGUGUGUUCAGGGUCAUUGUCUUGUUGUCCUUUUCCAAAUGAAAAGUUGAUCAAAUUUUUUAUCAUUGUACAGAAAAUGGAGAAAGGGGAAUGUUAGGCUGUUCAAAAAAUAGUAAGACAUCUAUGAAUCUUUCAGUUAUUUAGCUGUAUAACUACUGUUUCAUCACUAUUGUGUUGCAUAGAAACCACUAAUUUCUGACAUCUGUGAACAGAUAUUUCCUGCCAAAGAACACAUUCGGUUGUCUCAGAAACAACAUUUCUGGUGUCACCUCACAAGUUUUCCAUUUGACUAAGAAUUUAGUUGGUUUCUCCAUGGCUGUAAUCUUGUUGGUCUGGUAAUGCUGCUCCUUUAUGCCCCUUUUUUAUUAGUACCUAUUCUACUCGACUCGGGUCAGGUCGGCUCUACACGGUUUGGUUUGUUUUCCAAUUACAACUGAGUACCAUCUCGAUGUGGGCCAGAUCAACAAUAGCAAAAAAGUAACAUGUGACGAAACACUCUGGAUAAGUAUAGGAGAGAGGUGGAAGCUAUGGAGCGCUAUCAAGCCUACAACGAUUUAAUGCACUGGUCGGCUCGCUUGGAACCGCAAGCAGGCAAGUCCUAAAAACCGUAACAGUACCUUGUAACUGUUAGCAAUGGAAAAGCCUAAAAAGCGAGUAGAGCCACACCGAACAGCGCUGAGUAGAGACUAGUGGAAAAGGGUUAUACCUGGUAUGUUUAGUGUUGUUGUCUUGUUGAAACACCCAUUUUAAGACAUUUUCAUAUAUUUCGAUCUAGUCAUACUGACCCAUGAUUCUUGGUAUGUGAUAAACAUUCCUGACACUACAAUGAGAAACAUCCCAAUAUCAUGAUACACGAGCCACCGUUCUUUACAGUGUGGCUUGAAUUCAGUGAUGGGCGUCAUCUGACAAACUGUCUGUGGCCCCUUGACCCAGAAAAUAAUACGGACUUCCUGUCUUGACACCUGUUCAAAGAAUAAAUGAUCUUGCUGACUGAACUCUA